GUACAUCCAGGUACUGAGCCUCCUGUCCAGCUGAAUAAGUUAGUCCACUGGGCUCUCAAAGUAUAAAUUCUGAGCCGUCUCAGGAUGCAUGCACGUUUGCUCAAUCUGUAAACACGUAAUUAUUGAACUUGCCUUCUAAAGUAACACCACACCCUGGAUGUGAUGCAAAACCCAGCAUUACAAGAUAAGCUCUGUCUCAAGUUUCUGCUCGUUAUAGUGCCUGAAGUAUUUGCUCAUAAGCUCAGGGACUGAAGCAGAAGUAAACAGUCGGGCCAGUAUUAUAGGGACACCUGUGUUACAAAACUUUCUUACAUUGUGAAAGCAAUGAAUGAAGUUCAGCAGGACUCCUGUAAGAAUGCCGAUUCAUCCCACAUCGCGUUGGUCAAACAGGACUUCGACCUUAUCGCCUCCCUCUCUCCCUCACCCGCCCAGGUGAACGCCAAGAAGACAGAAAAGAAGAUCUGUCCUCCUCUCUGAAAUCCAAGUGCUCAAAGCAGGGCUGAUGGGGAGCAGGUGAUCAAUAAACACUGUUGAAGCGAAGGA
Long non-coding RNA from Herpailurus yagouaroundi (jaguarundi), 543 nucleotides. RefSeq lists it as uncharacterized. Lineage: Eukaryota; Metazoa; Chordata; Mammalia; Carnivora; Felidae. The transcript has 2 exons. The record is from RefSeq and is a predicted model, not a curated record.